This is a long non-coding RNA of Planococcus citri (citrus mealybug), 1224 nucleotides long. RefSeq lists it as uncharacterized. The transcript is spliced from 6 exons. Lineage: Eukaryota; Metazoa; Arthropoda; Insecta; Hemiptera; Pseudococcidae. The record is from RefSeq and is a predicted model, not a curated record.
ACCAUCUGUAAAUUGAUUUCAGAUGUUGCGAAUUCAGAGUGGACUAUUGUAACGUGUAUGCCUUGUCGUAUAAAUUUCAACAGCAUAUUUUAAAAUACCUUUUAGCUGAAUAUCUUCGGUGAUAUGUCUGAAUAUGAAAGGAACUGCCGAAAAAAGUCUCAUUGUUUCUUUGAUACAUUGUUCCAGAAAUGUCAACUGGUUCAAAUGAUGGUUUUCUACCUUUCUCGAAUAAUUUCCUAAAACGGUCUCUAUCAUGUCGGUGCGUAAUUUCAUCAAGAACGGUCGUUGCCACACGCCAUGCGCCAACUCUAAACAAGUUUUGAGAUAGAAACAUGACCAGCUGAUUUGUUUAUUAUUUGCAACGGUUCGUGUUUCAAACUCGCAUGUACUUAGAAGUAUUUAAUGGAAAAAAAUCUAAACUCGUUGAACAUGCUCGCGGUGUCAUCUUAAAGAAGAAAAUAUACGUACAUAUAAAUAAACCGACUGAGACAUCGUCAAAGACAUCAAUAAUAAAUCAUAAGACAUUGAAAUUCGCACUUCGAUACGAAGCCGACGACGAUGUGAUAAAAUCUGAGAGAGGUAACGUGCGAUAUAGGUACACUAUGUGAUUACGUAAUUGUAAAAUUACCUGGUAAUGUUGAUUUACUGCCAACAUUAAUAAUGUAAAACACACGGUUAUGGCAGUUGUUUCGCUUCCCUAAAUUAAUGUGUACAAUUUUCUUUAUUUUAAUCUCUAUAAAAGAAUACCUAUUAAUGUUAAGUAUUUUCCUAAUACAUACCGCCAUGAUAACUGUGACAAUUUCAUCAGCUAGUUGAUCAUCGGAGAAAUGAUUUUUCGAUUCAGAACUACCCAAUAAAAUGUCAAUGAACGUUUGGGCUCGUUUUCCGGCUGUAAAAAAAAAGAAGAUCAAAAAUGAAAAUAACUGGCUUGUGCAUUAACCAAAUCCUCGCAGGGCUGUCGUGCUUGAAGAUUCUUCGUCCUUUUCGUAGAACAUCUGCCAAAGAUUCUCAAAAUUACGAUGAGGUUACCUGAUGCUGUGAUCAAUCCUUCCCCUAGAAAAUCUUUAAUGAAUCCGUAGCCAUAUUCUUUAUCUGAAGUUUUUCUGCAUACGAUCUGUAGUUAUAGUUGAACGUGAUGUUCGUGUUUAUUGUUCUUAAGACUCACCUGCGUAGUCAAUUACACAUCCUGGUUGAGGCCAAACCCCACCAUUGGGGAAGAAAUCA